AGCAGUAGCCGCGGGAAUACGGAGGGUGCAAGCGUUAAUCGGAAUUACUGGGCGUAAAGCGCACGCAGGCGGUCUGUCAAGUCGGAUGUGAAAUCCCCGGGCUCAACCUGGGAACUGCAUUCGAAACUGGCAGGCUAGAGUCUUGUAGAGGGGGGUAGAAUUCCAGGUGUAGCGGUGAAAUGCGUAGAGAUCUGGAGGAAUACCGGUGGCGAAGGCGGCCCCCUGGACAAAGACUGACGCUCAGGUGCGAAAGCGUGGGGAGCAAACAGGAUUAGAGACCCCGGUAGUCCCUGUCUCUUAUAC
Molecule: ribosomal RNA, 303 nt
Filed under: uncultured bacterium
Lineage: Bacteria
Description: partial 16S ribosomal RNA
Rfam family: Bacterial small subunit ribosomal RNA
Source: RNAcentral